RNAcentral lists this ribosomal RNA (467 nucleotides) under uncultured bacterium. Its description in RNAcentral is "partial 16S ribosomal RNA". It matches the Rfam family "Bacterial small subunit ribosomal RNA", at positions 28 to 506 of the family's 1533-position model. The record is from RNAcentral.
GACGAACGCUGGCGGCGUGCUUAACACAUGCAAGUCGAACGGAAAGGCCCUGCUUUUGUGGGGUGCUCGAGUGGCGAACGGGUGAGUAACACGUGAGUAACCUGCCCUUGACUUUGGGAUAACUUCAGGAAACUGGGGCUAAUACCGGAUAGGAGCUCCUGCUGCAUGGUGGGGGUUGGAAAGUUUCGGCGGUUGGGGAUGGACUCGCGGCUUAUCAGCUUGUUGGUGGGGUAGUGGCUUACCAAGGCUUUGACGGGUAGCCGGCCUGAGAGGGUGACCGGCCACAUUGGGACUGAGGUACGGCCAAGACUCCUACGGGAGGCAGCAGUGGGGAAUAUUGCACAAUGGGCGGAAGCCGGAUGCAGCAACGCCGCGUGCGGGAGGACGGCCUUCGGGUUGUAAACCGCUUUCGCCUGUGACGAAGCGUGAGGGAGGGUAAUGGGUAAAGAAGCACCGGCUAACUACGU